CCCAGCCAAUCAAAUACUCGAAACACAAGAACAACAAGAGAGUGGCUCUGACCAUAGCUGUUGUUUGGAUAGUGUCGGCUGCCAUUGGUUCCCCUAUAGUGUUAGGCUUAAACACAACUCCCGAGAGGAUUCCACAACUCUGUAUAUUUUAUAACUCUGAUUUCAUUAUUUAUUCUUCACUCAGCUCAUUUUAUAUUCCCUGUCUUGUUAUGAUAUUUCUCUAUUACAAGAUAUUUAAAGCCAUCCAUGAAAGAGCCAAGAAAAGCAUAGGCAAGAGACUUCCCACAUCUACCGAUACCAAACCGGGCAUUGUUAUCGAAAAUGCUUCACAAACACAGUGGCAACAAGAGACAGCCCUUAUCUCUUCUUCAACCUCAGAAGUCGCGUAUCAGAACAAACUGAAACUUCUGCAGGUCGUCCAAACGGACGAUGUCACCAACACCGGAAGCGGAAGUCAAUACGAUGAAGACUAUGAGGAAGACACUAAAGGUGGUGACAAUGAUGAUGGCGAAAAUGAGAAUGAUGAUCGCUGUCAGAUUAUCGAAAAUAAGAAAACAACUGACUUUAUUUUGAGUGACGUGUCCAAGACAGUCGAAGAAAAUACAGAGAAAAACGGAAAUGCAGAUUCCAAGGUAAAGGAAACGGAGUUUUGUAUCCAGAACCCACUCACCAGGACUUUAAAGGAGUCCAGAACGACAACGUCUUCUGCUUUCUCUCCCAAAAACGGAAGAGAAAAUAAAAUUCUGUCUUUAGCUUCUGGUAGUAAUAGCGGUAAUCACUCGAUGGCUUACUUGAACGUGCCAAAGAAGAAAUCAAGAUUUAAUCUUGGACGGAAGCAUAAAAGCAGUCGUAAAAAACGAGAAAAGGCUUACGCAAAAAGAGAACGAAAAGCCACAAAGACCCUAGCUAUAGUAUUAGGUGUCUUUUUAAUCUGCUGGGUACCGUUCUUCACGUGUAACAUCAUGGACGCCAUCUGCAUCAAGCUACACAGCGCCGACUGUCGGCCUGGUGUAACAGUUUUCCUCCUUACUACCUGGCUGGGCUACAUCAACAGUUGUGUUAAUCCAGUCAUCUACACCAUAUACAACACCGAGUUCCGGAGAUCGUUCAAAAAAAUUUUGAUAGAACCUUGUAAAUGAGGUAGAUUCGACAAGUUCGACGCAACUAUUGACGUCAUAUUGAGUAUUAGAAACGUAUUAUAAAAAUCAACCCCUGUCGGUACAAUAUUGAACUCUUAUUAGAUCCUCUCCGGUGGUUUUUUGUAAAUGUUAUUUGUCUCUUUACAGUUACGAGUUAAAAACGUUGAGUUUCAGCGUAUUUUUUUACCAUUAGCUUUAAGUCCAAAACCUUUCUAGUGCUAUUUAUUUCGAAACGAUUUUUUCGGUCGGCCGUAUUGUGUGGGCUGUUUCUUGACGAAAUGAUGUUGCCUGGAUGAAAUUAAAUACUCGAGUUAGAAGUUAUAAAUAAAUCUAUGACAAUACUAGGUGACUACUAUAAACACGGGUUAUUUAGUAAGAGACGCUUUAAUCUUGAAUGGUUGGGAGUGGUCACACUGUGAAGUUAGGGGUAAGAGACGCUUUAAUUAUGAGUGGUUGGGAGUGGUCACACUGUGAAGUUAGGGGUAAGAAAAGAUUAAAGCGUUAACUUCACAGUGUGACCACUCCCAACCAUUCGGGAACAUCAGACACGAGGAGUAGUUCGUUAAAGUAUACUUAUAUUUCGACCUUUAGCCGGUCAGUGGUCAGUACCUAUUUAUUUGUACAUAAUUUCAAACAUAUCGUAAGUAAAUCAUUUGAUCUUCCAGUGACGAAAUGUCUAGAUCAGUGUUUCUCAACAGGGGUGCCGCGAGAUUUUAGCAAAAUAUUGUAAAAAAAAACAAACAAACAAAUCAAUUACAACGUCACAUAUUUGAAACGUUUUUAUGUAUCUGAUUUUUCUUUUCUACAUCUAUUCGUCUCUAUGACCUUCCUCCCACCUCUUGGCUACGUCACUGUUAACUAGGCUAUAAUACGUUUAGUGUGCCGUGGAAAUGUUCACAGGAGCAGAUCAAAAGUAAUGUUCACAGGAGUGCAGAUCAAAAGUAACGUUCACAGGGGUGCAGGUCAAAAGUAACGUUCACAAGAGUGCAGAUCAAAAGCAACGUUCACAGGAGUGCAGGUCAAAAGUAACGUUCACAGAAGUGCAGGUCAAAAGUAACGUUCACAGGAGUGCAGGUCAAAAGUAACGUUCACAGUAGUGCAGAUCAAAAGUAACGUUCACAGGAGGGCCGAUCAAAAGUAACGUUCACAGUAGUGCAGGUCAAAAGCAACGUUCACAGGAGUGCACGUCAAAAAUAACGUUCACAGAAGUGCACGUCAAAAGUAACGUUCACAGGAGUGCGGGUCAAAAGUAACGUUCACGAGAGUGCGGGUCAAAAGUAACGUUCACAAAAGUGCGGGUCAAGAGUAACGUUCACAGGAGUGCCGAUCAAAAGUAACGUUCACAGGAGUGCCGAUCAAAAGUAACGUUCACAGGAGUGCCGAUCAAAAGUAACGUUCACAGGAGUGCAGUUAAAAUUUUUAUAAUCCCCGUAUAAAAUGAAAGCCCGUGUUUUCUCAUGUUGGUGUGGUUGAUAAAUGUGAUGUUACAUUUAACGUUCUUCGUGUUGAUCCAAAUGUUAUUUAUAUACGUUAUACAUAUAACAUUUAUAUAUGUUACAUCUACAGUGUACCAAACUCAUAUCAGAAACUAAGUGUGAAAUACGUUCUGGGAAGCCUUUGAAUUCUCUCUCUUCCAGAUCACACUUUGGAAAUCUGGAAGUUUUAGUUAAAAUCAAGAGAAGGUUCUACGCUACCUUGUGGUACCUUAACGAUUACUUCAUGGUAAGGUUAUUUACCAUCGUAUGAAGAAGGUAAUCUCCAAGUGAUGAGUCGACUUUAUAAUUUCAACAUAUAUAUAUAUAUAUCAAACUUCACGCUAUUAUAGUGGGGGUCAUCAGAAUUCUAAUAAGGUGAGUCUAAUGUCCUGGAGGGGAUAAAUCACUGGUAACAGGAUGAACAUGCCAAUCAAAGUGUUAGUGAAAGACUGUGAUUUUUAUGGUAAAUCCGAAGUUUCAUAGUCAUGCAUGUUGUUGUUGUUGUUGUUUUUCUUACAUCUUGACAAAAAGUUCCCACCCACGAAAAUACAUUUUUGACAGACCAUAAGUGGCUCUAAUAUUAUAGUAUUACGAAAUGCUUAAAAGCCACUAAAAGUACAAU
This is an RNA transcript of Limulus polyphemus (Atlantic horseshoe crab), 3236 nucleotides long. It is a transcript of the gene named dopamine D2-like receptor, with no coding region annotated. The record is from RefSeq and is a predicted model, not a curated record. Lineage: Eukaryota; Metazoa; Arthropoda; Merostomata; Xiphosura; Limulidae. The transcript has 3 exons.